AUUAAACGCUGGCGGCAGGCCUAACACAUGCAAGUCGAGCGGAGCGGCGGACGGGUGAGUAUUGCCUCGGAAUUUGCCUGGUAGUUGGGGAUAAAGUCCGGAAACGGGCGCUAAUACUACAUACUCUCUGCUUCGCCUAGGCCGGUUUAGCUAGUUGGUGGGGAACAGGCCUACCAAGGCGACGAUCCGUAACUGGUCUGUGAGGAUGAUCAGUCACACUGGAACUGAGACACGGGACAGAGUCCUACGGGAGGCAGCAGUGGGGAAUAUUGGACAAUGGGCGAAAGCCUGUGGCAGCCAUGCCGCGUGUGUGAAGAAGGUCUUCGGAGUGUAAAGCACUUUAAGUUGGGAGGCGUUACCAACAGAAGAAGCACCGGCUAACUACGUGCCAGCAGCCGCGGUAAUUC
RNAcentral lists this ribosomal RNA (407 nucleotides) under uncultured bacterium. RNAcentral describes it as "partial 16S ribosomal RNA". It matches the Rfam family "Bacterial small subunit ribosomal RNA", at positions 30 to 526 of the family's 1533-position model. The record is from RNAcentral.